This is a long non-coding RNA of Amblyraja radiata (thorny skate), 120 nucleotides long. RefSeq lists it as uncharacterized. The record is from RefSeq and is a predicted model, not a curated record. NCBI's taxonomy places the organism in Eukaryota, Metazoa, Chordata, Chondrichthyes, Rajiformes, Rajidae. The transcript is spliced from 3 exons.
CUAGAGUUCUAUCUAACUCUCAUUUAAAUUCAUCAAGUGAAGAGGCCUCUACUGCCUUCUGUGGUAGAGAAUUCCCAACUCUCUUGGUGAUUUUUUUUUCUCAUCUCAGUUUUAAAUGGC